UACGAAGGGGGCUAGCGUUGCUCGGAAUCACUGGGCGUAAAGCGCACGUAGGCGGCUUUUUAAGUCAGGGGUGAAAUCCUGGAGCUCAACUCCAGAACUGCCUUUGAUACUGAGAAGCUUGAGUCCGGGAGAGGUGAGUGGAACUGCGAGUGUAGAGGUGAAAUUCGUAGAUAUUCGCAAGAACACCAGUGGCGAAGGCGGCUCACUGGCCCGGUACUGACGCUGAGGUGCGAAAGCGUGGAGAGCAAACAGG
RNAcentral lists this ribosomal RNA (253 nucleotides) under uncultured bacterium. RNAcentral describes it as "partial 16S ribosomal RNA". It matches the Rfam family "Bacterial small subunit ribosomal RNA", at positions 524 to 776 of the family's 1533-position model. The record is from RNAcentral.